Molecule: long non-coding RNA, 560 nt
Filed under: Bos taurus (domestic cattle)
Lineage: Eukaryota; Metazoa; Chordata; Mammalia; Artiodactyla; Bovidae
Description: long non-coding RNA NONBTAT001863
Source: RNAcentral
GAAGUUUUAUUAGAAGGGCACUUACAGGAGGAAGAGAGGAGAGAGGACACAUUUAACAACAGGGGUAAAUGCUUAAACAGGUGCUCAGCUCUUAAGAUACAAAAGUUAGAAAAGUCUAAAACACUAUAAAUACAUACAUGCUUUUUACAAAGGGUGUUAAAAGGUCAGGCUGGCUGAGAAGGGAAGGUAAUCAGCAUCCUCCGUUCUCUUCCCCACCCAAGCAGGAGUCCCGCCCAGGACAGCCUAGUUGCAACAGCAGCACUGAAGGUGAAUGAAGGCUUCUUGGGGGCAGGUGGCUCCAGCCCUCUGUACAGUUCUCGCCCCUGGGAAGGGAGAGGGGCUGGGUUCAGAGGCCCCUGUGGACGGGCCUGCGUUGGCCUGAGCUAGCUGCCUGUGUUCACAUGCUGCCACACAGGGAGCCAGCCUGGGUUGGUGGCUCUGGGGGCCAAGCCACUGUCCUCGGGAGGAGAGCCGUUUCCAACUUUCUUCCAAAAUUAAAUAGUUAUCUGUCUUGGUUUUAACUUGAGAAGUGGCGGAUACUCCUCAAAGACUGUUACUUG